This is a non-coding RNA of Camelus dromedarius (Arabian camel), 447 nucleotides long. The record is from the annotation of a RefSeq genome assembly. Lineage: Eukaryota; Metazoa; Chordata; Mammalia; Artiodactyla; Camelidae.
AUGGGCCCCCGGCUCCUGGGCUGGGUCCUGCUUUGGCUCCUGGGAGCAGGCCCCGUAGAAGCCGACGUGACCCAGAGCCCGACACACCGCAUCACAGAGACCAGGAAGAAGCUGACAGUGACUUGUUCUCAGAAUAUGAACCACGAUGCUAUGUACUGGUAUCGACAAGACCCAGGGCUGGGUCUCAGGCUGAUCUACUUCUCACAGAAUGUUAAUUUUACUGAAAAGGGAGAUAUCCCUGAUGGGUACACUGUUUCUCGGAAAGAGAAGAAGGAUUUCUCCCUGACCCUGGAGUCGGCCAGCAUCACCCAGACCUCCUUGUACCUCUGCGCCAGCAGCUUACACAGCUGCCUUCCGCUCUACAACCCUCCUUGGGACCUGAACAUGUCCUACGCUGACUCACCCCUGGGUCUUCACCAAGAAUGUUCCCUCUACCUGGACACCUAA